Molecule: ribosomal RNA, 468 nt
Filed under: uncultured bacterium
Lineage: Bacteria
Description: partial 16S ribosomal RNA
Rfam family: Bacterial small subunit ribosomal RNA
Source: RNAcentral
GAUGAACGCUGGCGGCGUGCUUAACACAUGCAAGUCGAACGGAAAGGCCCAAGCUUGCUUGGGUACUCGAGUGGCGAACGGGUGAGUAACACGUGGGUGAUCUGCCCUGCACUUCGGGAUAAGCCUGGGAAACUGGGUCUAAUACCGGAUAGGACCACUUCUUGGAUGUUGUGGUGGAAAGUUUUUUCGGUGUGGGAUGAGCUCGCGGCCUAUCAGCUUGUUGGUGGGGUAAUGGCCUACCAAGGCGUCGACGGGUAGCCGGCCUGAGAGGGUGUACGGCCACAUUGGGACUGAGAUACGGCCCAGACUCCUACGGGAGGCAGCAGUGGGGAAUAUUGCACAAUGGGCGCAAGCCUGAUGCAGCGACGCCGCGUGGGGGAUGACGGCCUUCGGGUUGUAAACUCCUUUCGCUAGGGAAGAAGCGUUUUUGUGACGGUACCUGGAGAAGAAGCACCGGCUAACUACGUG